UCGAUUCUUCGGACGCUUUGGAUCGUCAGCAAAGGUACAUGAGAGGUUGAUGAAGCUCUUCCUGAAGUCUGGUGGGCUCACGAUACUCGUAGCUCACAUUUUCACUUCCCGAACCCUAGGCAAUAACCCUAGGGUACUCACAGAAAACCCUGCGUCCAGUCUCUCUUCUUUUCUUUUCUUUUCUCACACACAAGGCCUUUCUCAUGCCAUCCUUUCUCUCA
Molecule: long non-coding RNA, 221 nt
Filed under: Elaeis guineensis (African oil palm)
Lineage: Eukaryota; Viridiplantae; Streptophyta; Magnoliopsida; Arecales; Arecaceae
Description: long non-coding RNA (EGUI_LNC005033)
Source: RNAcentral